This 450-nucleotide ribosomal RNA is filed under the name uncultured bacterium. Its description in RNAcentral is "partial 16S ribosomal RNA". It matches the Rfam family "Bacterial small subunit ribosomal RNA", at positions 354 to 796 of the family's 1533-position model. The record is from RNAcentral.
GUGGGGAAUAUUCCGCAAUGGACGAAAGUCUGACGGAGCAACGCCGCGUGAGUGAUGAAGGUUUUCGGACUGUAAAGCUCUGUUGUUUAGGACGAAAGUGCCUGUUGCAAAUAGUUACAGGUAUUGACGGUACUGAACGAGGAAGCCACGGCUAACUACGUGCCAGCAGCCGCGGUAAUACGGAGGUGGCAAGCGUUGUCCGGAAUUAUUGGGCGUAAAGAGCAUGUAGGCGGGAAUCUAAGUCUGUUGUGAAAAUGCGGGGCUCAACCGCGUAUUGCGAUGGAAACUGGGUUUCUUGAGUGCAGGAGAGGAAAGGGGAAUUCCCAGUGUAGCGGUGAAAUGCGUAGAUAUUGGGAGGAACACCAGUGGCGAAGGCGCCUUUCUGGACUGUGUCUGACGCUGAGAUGCGAAAGCCAGGGUAGCGAACGGGAUUAGAAACCCUAGUAGUCC